This 73-nucleotide transfer RNA is filed under the name Tigriopus californicus. It matches the Rfam family "tRNA". Rfam says of the family: Transfer RNA (tRNA) molecules are approximately 80 nucleotides in length. Their secondary structure includes four short double-helical elements and three loops (D, anti-codon, and T loops). Lineage: Eukaryota; Metazoa; Arthropoda; Copepoda; Harpacticoida; Harpacticidae. RNAcentral also lists the same sequence under 1 other name. The record is from Rfam by way of RNAcentral.
GCCUCGGUAGCGCAGUUGGCAGCGCGUCAGUCUCAUAAUCUGAAGGCCGUGAGUUCGAGCCUCACCCGGGGCA